Non-coding RNA from Podarcis lilfordi (Lilford's wall lizard), 4523 nucleotides. NCBI's taxonomy places the organism in Eukaryota, Metazoa, Chordata, Lepidosauria, Squamata, Lacertidae. The record is from the annotation of a GenBank genome assembly.
CAAUUUUAGUUGUCGCUUCAGCCACUUGUUUACUCAACUUUUCCAAAGAUUCAAAAUAUCUAAGGCCGAAGAUAAACCCCCUUCAGCUACCAUUCCUUUGGAGGCCACCUGGGCUAAAUCUUCCCCUGGUGGGGCCGGAAGGCUGGGUGCUGAUGGUCUACUCUGCUGCUGUCGAAUUUUGCCAGAUCUUGUUGUUUUUUCCUGAGUCGAGUCUGCCAUAACACUUUAUCUAAGAGUCAAGGUCAGUCCCACACUUGCUUGUUUGUGGUGGAAAAUUCCCCUUUAGUCUAGCCAAUUCAAAGUGGAAAAUUCCUUGGCCAGUUGUAGCAAUUUCAAAGUUCCUCUAGGGGGACACAGUAGCAGUUCCAAAUUGUAACAAUAAAAUAACUGUCCAACUUUCAAAGAUCCCCCCUUAGCCACAAAUGGCAACAGUUUCAAAUCCAGUGGGACUUUUCAAAGUCAAAGUAUCCCUCUUGCAGAGCUAACUGUCAGAAAGUUACAUUGUCUUUUGACAGCGCGUUUCCCAAUACGGCAGUAUCAAUGUCCCUUGACAGCCCGUUCCCAGGCAUUAAGUGAUGGUCUUAGUUCCCUUUCUCUCUUCUUUUGCAGGCAAAACUUACUUCCCCUUCUCCCUCCCCUCUCCCACACCACAGGGAGGGAGUUCUCUCUUUGUUGAUGUAGGAUUUACAUCUUUUUCAACGCGGUUUCAAGCUCUUUGCUUUUGACAGUCUUUGCUUUGAUCUAUUUACAUAAAGGAAGGCGGACUUCCUGUUUACAUCUUCCCGCUUCGGUGCCAAAUUAACCCUUUUUUCCUUAAGUCCCCCGGUCUUCGGUCUUAACCUACUCACGGGUAAUUGUUUCUUAGCCAAAUUGUCACAGGAAAAAGGUCGGCGCUCUCCGGCAACAGCUGCGUGGCUUCACUCCACGGAAGAAGCAGUUGACUCUCAGCACCGCGCCAAACUCCCCGCUCCGUUCCGGAACUCUUUCCAGAGUUCCCUCGCGAGUUGGGGGGGCGCUAGGGGUGCCCGCCGAGUCCCACGGUCACAGGCUUCACCCGCCCGUGAUUUUCAAAAGGGUCCCUGCUUCGCCCUAGUGGCAAGACCCGAUUUCCGCGGAGCUAUUCCCUCGAGACUAGAGGGAAUCCGCCAUUGCCGAUGGCGCCGCCUCCGGAAGUCCCUCAACUGAGCAGAGAAUUGAUGACGCUUGCACCAGACAUCCUAUUGGGAGGAGCCAGUUUUCUGACUGCAUGUUCUGGAAGUGGGGUAGUAGAGGAUUCCCUGGCCGAGCUGCUUCAGGUCGUGGUGGAUGUUCUCUUGGAGACACCUAGUUUGGCUGUCCUAGGGGAUAUAAACAUCCAUGCCAACACAAACUUACAAGGGGCCACUUGGGACUUCGUGGAAAUCAAGGCCUCCAUAGGACUGUCCCUGAAUAAGUUUGGCCCAACUCAUAGUCAUGGACAUGCCUUAGACCUGGUGUUUACCUCUAUGGAUGUGGGUGAUCUGACACUAAGUAAAAGUAAAACAAAAAAAGUGCCAUGGUCAGGUCACUUCUUGGUGCAACUGGACUUCUCCGCUACCCUUCCCCUCUGCAGGGAGGUGGGACCAAUUCAGGUGGUCCACCCCCACCACUUAAUGGAUCCAAAUGGUUUCCAGAGAGUGGUAGGGGAUAUUUUAUCCCACGUUGAUGGCCUUUCAGAUGAUUCCCUGGUGGCCCACUGGAAUACGAGUUAACCAGGGCUAUCAACUGUCUGGCUUCGAAGCACCCUCUCUGAUUACAUGGAGCCCGGACAGCCCCAUGGUUGUCUGAGGGCAGUGAAACAAUCAUUGAGAUGCCUAGAGUACUGGUGGUGGAAAACUCAUUCUGAAGCAGACCAGACACAGCUUAGAGCUCAAAGCUGAGCCUACCAAGUGGCGAUAGUGAUGGCAAAGAUGACCUUAUUCACUGCCUCUAUUGCAUCAGCAGAAAACAGCAGCAGAAGACUCUUUCAAGUGGUUUGUAAUUUAACGGAAUCACCUGUGCCAUCAGGGCCUGAUAAGGCCCCCAAGAUCUGCUGCAAUGAUUUUGCAAAGUUUUUUUGCAAAUAAAGUCACUCAUAUUCAGAAAGAGGUAUAGAGCAGGGGAGCAGGGCAAGGGCAGGGGAGCAGGGCAAGGGUUAGGGUUAGGGUUAGGGUCUAAUCAAUUUGCAUUGGAUCAAUUCCAAUCUGUUACCUCUGAGGAUGUGGACAGGCUGCUUAGACGAGUGAAACCAACCACCUGUCUCCUUGAUCCUUGCCCAUCCUGGCUAAUAAAAGCUAGCCUGGAAGGGCUAGGCGAUGGGCUCUGCAGGGUGGUGAAUGCUUCUCUCUGUGAGGGAGUCUUCCCAGCCCCAUUGAAUCAUAGAAUCAUAGAGUUGGAAGAGACCACAAGGGCCAUCGAGUCCAACCCCCUGCCAAGCAGGAAACACCAUCAGAGCACUCCUGACAUAUGGUUGUCAAGCCUCUGCUUAAAGACCUCCAAAGAAGGAGACUCCACCACACUCCUUGGCAGCAAAUUCCACUGUCGAACAGCUCUUACUGUCAGGAAGUUCUUCCUAAUGUUUAGGUGGAAUCUUCUUUCUUGUAGUUUGGAUCCAUUGCUCCGUGUCCGCUUCUCUGGAGCAGCAGAAAACAACCUUUCUCCCUCCUCUAUGUGACAUCCUUUUCUAUAUUUGAACAUGGCUAUCAUAUCACCCCUUAACCUCCUCUUCUCCAGGCUAAACAUGCCCAGCUCCCUUAGCCGUUCCUCAUAAGGCAUCGUUUCCAGGCCUUUGACCAUUUUGGUUGCCCUCCUCUGGACACGCUCCAGUUUGUCAGUGUCCUUCUUGAACUGUGGUGCCCAGAACUGGACACAGUACUCCAGGUGAGGUCUGACCAGAGCAGAAUACAGUGGCACUAUUACUUCCCUUGAUCUAGAUGCUAUACUCCUAUUGAUGCAGCCCAGAAUUGCAUUGGCUUUUUAGCUGCCGCGUCACACUGUUGGCUCAUGUCAAGUUUGUGGUCAACCAAGACUCCUAGAUCCUUUUCACAUGUACUGCUCUCAAGCCAGGUGUCCCCCAUCUUGUAUUUGUGCCUCUCAUUUUUUUGCCCAAGUGCAAUACUUUACAUUUCUCCCUGUUAAAAUUCAUCUUGUUUGUUUUGGCCCAGUUCUCUAAUCUGUCAAGGUCGUUUUGAAGUGUGAUCCUGUCCUCUGGGGUGUUAGCCACCCUCCCAGUUUGGUGUCAUCUGCAAAUUUGAUCAGGAUGCCCUUGAGUCCAUCAUCCAAGUCGUUGAUAAAGAUGUUGAAUAAGACCGGGCCCAAGACAGAACCCUGUGGCACCCCACUAGUCACUCUUCUCCAGGAUGAAGAGGAACCAUUGAUGAGCACCCUUUGGGUUCGGUCAGUCAGCCAGUUACAAAUCCACUGAGUGGUAGCAUAGUCAAGACCACAUUUUACCAGCUUCUUUACAAGAAUAUCAUGAGGCACCUUGUCAAAUGCCUUGCUGAAAUCAAGGUAGGCUACAUCCACUGCGUUCCCUUCAUCUACCAGGCUUGUAAUUCUGUCAAAAAUGAGAUCAGGUUAGUCUGACAUGACUUAUUUUUCAGAAAUCCAUGCUGACUAUUGGUGAUCACAGCAUUCCUUUCUAGGUGCUCACAGACUGUUUGCUUAAUGAUCUGCUCCAGAAUCUUCCCUGGUAUUGACGUCAGACUGACUGGGCGGUAAUUAUUUGGGUCCUCUCUUUCCCCCUUUUUGAAAAUAGGGACAACAUUUGCCCUCCUCCAGUCUGCCGGGACUUCGCCUGUUCUCCAGGAAUUCUCAAAGAUGACUGCCAGUGGUUCUGAGAUCACAUCUGCCAGUUCUUUUAAUACUCUUGGAUGCAGUUCAUCUGGCCCUGGAGACUUGAAUACAUCUAAACUAGCCAAGUAUUCUUGUACUAUCUCCUUAGUUAUUCUGGGCUGUGUUUCCUCUGCUGAAUCAUUUGCUCCAAAUUCUUCAGGUCGGGCAUUGUUUUCUUUAUCGGAGAAGACUGAGGCAAAGAAGGCAUUGAGGAGUUCAGCCCUUUCUGUGUCCCCAUUUGCAUUUCACCAUCUUCUCCUCUGAGUGACCCCACUGUUUCUUUGUUCUUCCUUUUGCUACGGACAUACCCAUAAAAGCCUUUUUUGUUGCUUUUAACCUCUCUAGCAAGCCUGAGUUCAUUCUGUGCUUUAGCUUUUCUGACUUUGUGUCUACACGCGCUGGCUAUUUGUUUGAAUUCCUCUUUGGUGGUUUCCCCCUUUUCCAUUUUUGUACACAUCCUUUUUAAUCUUAACUCAGUUAAAAGUUCUUUAGAUAGCCACCCUGGCUUCUUUAGGCACCUUCCAUGUUUCUGUCUCAUUGGUAUUGCCUGACGUUGUGCUUUUACUAUCUCCCUCUUAACAAACUCCCAGCCAUCAUGAACUCCCUUUCCUUUUUUUUUUUUAAAAAAAGAAUAUUUAUUCCAGUUUCAAAGUUACAAAAAAAGAAGAAAAAACAAACCAUACACAUGUUAC